UGGGCGAAAGCCUGAUCCAGCCAUGCCGCGUGUGUGAAGAAGGUCUUCGGAUUGUAAAGCACUUUAAGUUGGGAGGAAGGGCUGUUUCCUAAUACGAAGCAGUUUUGACGUUACCGAC
This 118-nucleotide ribosomal RNA is filed under the name uncultured bacterium. RNAcentral's name for it is "partial 16S ribosomal RNA". It matches the Rfam family "Bacterial small subunit ribosomal RNA", at positions 372 to 482 of the family's 1533-position model. The record is from RNAcentral.